UACAGAGGGAUGCUACCGGGCGACCGGAUGCGGAUCUCGAAAGCCUGUCCCAGUUCGGACUGGAGUCUGCAACCCGACUCCACGAAGUUGGAUUCGCUAGUAAUCGCGCAUCAGCCAUGGCGCGGUGAAUACGUUCCCAGGCCUUGUACACACCGCCCGUCAAGCCAUGGGAGCCGGGGGCGCCUGAAGUCCGGGACCGCGAGGACCGGCCUAGGGCGAAACUGGUAACUGGGGCUAAGUCGUAACAAGGUAGC
RNAcentral lists this ribosomal RNA (254 nucleotides) under uncultured bacterium. RNAcentral describes it as "partial 16S ribosomal RNA". It matches the Rfam family "Bacterial small subunit ribosomal RNA", at positions 1238 to 1500 of the family's 1533-position model. The record is from RNAcentral.